GCCGGUGUAGCUCAACUGGUAGAGCAACUGACUUGUAAUCAGUAGGUUGGGGGUUCAAGUCCUCUUGCCGGCAC
RNAcentral lists this transfer RNA (74 nucleotides) under Streptococcus pneumoniae. RNAcentral describes it as "tRNA-Thr(tgt)". It matches the Rfam family "tRNA". From Rfam's summary of the family: Transfer RNA (tRNA) molecules are approximately 80 nucleotides in length. Their secondary structure includes four short double-helical elements and three loops (D, anti-codon, and T loops). RNAcentral also lists the same sequence under 5 other names. Lineage: Bacteria; Bacillati; Bacillota; Bacilli; Lactobacillales; Streptococcaceae. The record is from RNAcentral.